Molecule: long non-coding RNA, 1763 nt
Filed under: Phaseolus vulgaris (common bean)
Lineage: Eukaryota; Viridiplantae; Streptophyta; Magnoliopsida; Fabales; Fabaceae
Description: long non-coding RNA (PVUL_LNC004583)
Source: RNAcentral
UGUGGGUGUAAUGUUUUAUAGUAAUAGAAGACAAAAGUAGUAAGUUAUAGAUAAAGUGAAACUAUAAUUGAAAGUAUUAGGCACCUUGAAAAGUAGUAAAUAGAAAAGAAAAGGAAGGCAUGAGCAUGACUUGUUCAAAGCAAGUACUAUCUAGAUUCCUUUUGGGUACCCCAAUUAAUGCUUGAAUUUCAAGAUCAUAAAAGCAACCGUGUUCGGUGUUGUUGAUUGUACCCUGAGGCCUCGAACACGAAGCACAGACCCAUUCAAAUCCAAAAAGAACACAGCGUUGAGCUUGUGCCUUAAAUUUUUAGCUCAAUGCCUUAAGCUAACCACUUACUUCUACCUUUGGAAUGAGUCUUCUCUUCUCAAUAAGUUGUAAAUAAUUUCAGUAAGAUAAAAAAUCUGGAUACGCGCACCAUCCCACUCGGUUCACGCGGUCCAAACACAUCUUAUUUAUACCAACGUCGGCACUGCUCACCCUUCACUUACUUUCCAUUUCAAUCUUCAUUUUCCGAUCACCGUUUUUUGGAACAUAUGGCUGCAUCACCACCCAGAUUGAUCCCUGAAAGGGGUCAAGUUCUGAAGAGGAUCCUAAAAAUGGUGGUUGCUUGUUUCAUGUGUGCUCCUGAGUCUUCUUCCGAUUCUCAUAAUCACAAAACCUCUUCUUCUUCAGUCUUUCCGGCGUCACCUCCUUCCCGUCUCUGAACUCAUUCCUCGCUUUUCGUGUUAACCUUUGACAACUUGUCAAAAAUGGAUUCUGGGUCUGUUGGGUUCUGUUGGUUUAUUCAAGAACAUUGCUCUUCACCUCCUUAACGUUAAUUUUGUGUGCGUCUUAUGUUGUAACGUUGUAGCGACAACUCAAUUUUGUUUAGUUUCAUGUAGAUUCAGCCCCUCCCCGCUUUGAUCCCGGGCCUGCAAAAUUUGAAGAAAAAAAUUUACUUUUGAAUGUGAAAGUCUUUCUUAUCGGUCGGAAAUGCUGAUUUGAUCCGAAGAUUUUAAAUGUACUUUAUAUUUGUGUUAUGGGAGUAUUCGAGAUCGCGUCUCGACAUCUCCACAACAGCUCCCAACACAGCAUAAUUAUAAAUAUAACUUAAUUACGUAAUUAAUAAACACAACAUGAUAAUUAUUCAUAAAUCAUGAUUAAGACAACACUAGAACUAUUUGCACUACUAUGCUCAUUCAUAUAUAGAGAAAUCUAACAAAUUAAUAUAAAUAGAUAAACACAUAUGUAAUUGAUCUUACACUCUCCAAUUAAAUUGAGAAUUGACUUGAAUUCGUAAGAGUACAAUUGCAGGUAACUUUACCAAGAUCGAAAACCAAGGACAAAUCAAGAGUUGAAGAUUGAAACAAGAGCCAAUAUCAAGUUAUAAGUAUAAAAGACAUCACAGCAAGAAAAUUUAGGUGCCCACUGUGAGGCCAAAAAAAAGUUCUAGUGAAAAAGUCACAUGGUAACCACAAGAAACAUGACGGGUAAUGCAUUCUAAAGGAAAUCAAGAACCAUCAUGCUGAUCUAGUGACAAUGAUGGUAAAACUUAGAAAGGAGCUAGAAUCACUAAAGAGAAAAAAUGCAUAAGAGAUAGAUUCUUUGAGAAUGGGAAACAUGUGGAUGAGACAAAAACCUGUGAGCAAUGGGACGAUUUUGCUACCCACUGAAACAUCUUCAGACCCAAUAGGUUCCAAUCUAAAUACUUAAUAGAGAACACAUGAGAUUAAUAGGCUCCCACCACGUGUACACUAAAGUGUUUGCUUCAAUGAAUACCUUU